RNAcentral lists this unclassified non-coding RNA (254 nucleotides) under Glomus sp. RNAcentral's name for it is "partial internal transcribed spacer 2". The record is from RNAcentral. Lineage: Eukaryota; Fungi; Glomeromycota; Glomeromycetes; Glomerales; Glomeraceae.
GUGAAUCAUCAAAUCUUUGAACGCAAAUUGCACUCUCUUCUAAUAGUAUGCCUAUUUGAGGUUCAGCCUAAAAAAAAUCUACAUAAUUCCUGUUACGCGAUAACAUUACUCGGAAAUUUGAUCAUCUUAAACCUUUGAUUUUAGUCGGCUUAAAAUCUUCUUUACCAUUCCAAGAACGUUUCUAAGAUUUUAUUUUCUUAUACGUUUAAGGUAUCGAUCUUUAUUAUACGUCUCCGUUCCAUCAAACCUCGUCC